UGUUGGAUUGUUCACCCACCA
This 21-nucleotide small nuclear RNA is filed under the name Arabidopsis thaliana (thale cress). Its description in RNAcentral is "snRNA_18333". Lineage: Eukaryota; Viridiplantae; Streptophyta; Magnoliopsida; Brassicales; Brassicaceae. The record is from RNAcentral.